GCACUCGCUUUGGCAGCACAUACACUAAAAUUGGAAGGACACAGAGAAGAUUAGCAUGGCCCCUGAGCAAGGAUGACACACAAAUUCUUGAAGUGUUCUAUAUUUUU
Molecule: small nuclear RNA, 107 nt
Organism: Phacochoerus africanus (Common warthog)
Lineage: Eukaryota; Metazoa; Chordata; Mammalia; Artiodactyla; Suidae
Source: RefSeq, a predicted model, not a curated record